This 241-nucleotide ribosomal RNA is filed under the name uncultured Pseudomonadales bacterium. Its description in RNAcentral is "partial 16S ribosomal RNA". It matches the Rfam family "Bacterial small subunit ribosomal RNA", at positions 90 to 334 of the family's 1533-position model. Lineage: Bacteria; Pseudomonadati; Pseudomonadota; Gammaproteobacteria; Pseudomonadales. The record is from RNAcentral.
ACCUAGCGGCGGACGGGUGAGUAAUGCUUAGGAAUCUGCCUAUUAGUGGGGGACAACGUUCCGAAAGGAACGCUAAUACCGCAUACGUCCUACGGGGGAAAGCAGGGGAUCCUCGGACCUUGCGCUAAUAGAUGAGCCUAAGUCGGAUUAGCUAGUUGGUGGGGUAAAGGCCUACCAAGGCGACGAUCUGUAGCGGGUCUGAGAGGAUGAUCCGCCACACUGGGACUGAGACACGGCCCAG